AGGGAAUAUUGGACAAUGGGGGAAACCCUGAUCCAGCGACGCCGCGUGAGGGACGAAGGCCUUCGGGUUGUAAACCUCUGUUGUCAGGGAAGAAGCCGGGUGCAUAACCCGGUGACGGUACCUGACGAGGAAGCCCCGGCUAACUACGUGCCAGCAGCCGCGGUGAGACGUAGGGGGCAAGCGUUAUCCGGAUUCACUGGGCGUAAAGGGCGUGUAGGCGGUUACGUAAGUCCGGCGUGAAAAUUCACGGCUUAACUGUGAACGUGCGUCGGAUACUGCGUUGACUUGAGGGCGGUAGAGGUAGAUGGAACUAGCGGUGUAGCGGUGAAAUGCACAGAUAUCGCUAGGAACGCCGGUGGCGAAGGCGAUCUGCUGGGCCGUUCCUGACGCUGAGGCGCGAAAGCUAGGGGAGCGAA
Molecule: ribosomal RNA, 416 nt
Filed under: uncultured bacterium
Lineage: Bacteria
Description: bacterial SSU rRNA
Rfam family: Bacterial small subunit ribosomal RNA
Source: RNAcentral